Molecule: ribosomal RNA, 713 nt
Filed under: uncultured Alcaligenes sp.
Lineage: Bacteria; Pseudomonadati; Pseudomonadota; Betaproteobacteria; Burkholderiales; Alcaligenaceae
Description: bacterial SSU rRNA
Rfam family: Bacterial small subunit ribosomal RNA
Source: RNAcentral
GCAUCUAGAUUAGAGUUUGAUCCUGGCUCAGAUUGAACGCUAGCGGGAUGCUUUACACAUGCAAGUCGAACGGCAGCGCGGACUUCGGUCUGGCGGCGAGUGGCGAACGGGUGAGUAAUGUAUCGGAACGUGCCCAGUAGCGGGGGAUAACUACGCGAAAGCGUGGCUAAUACCGCAUACGCCCUACGGGGGAAAGGGGGGGAUCGCAAGACCUCUCACUAUUGGAGCGGCCGAUAUCGGAUUAGCUAGUUGGUGGGGUAAAGGCCUACCAAGGCGACGAUCCGUAGCUGGUUUGAGAGGACGACCAGCCACACUGGGACUGAGACACGGCCCAGACUCCUACGGGAGGCAGCAGUGGGGAAUUUUGGACAAUGGGGGAAACCCUGAUCCAGCCAUCCCGCGUGUAUGAUGAAGGCCUUCGGGUUGUAAAGUACUUUUGGCAGAGAAGAAAAGGUAUCCCCUAAUACGGGAUACUGCUGACGGUAUCUGCAGAAUAAGCACCGGCUAACUACGUGCCAGCAGCCGCGGUAAUACGUAGGGUGCAAGCGUUAAUCGGAAUUACUGGGCGUAAAGCGUGUGUAGGCGGUUCGGAUAGAAAGAUGUGAAAUCCCAGGGCUCAACCUUGGAACUGCAUUUUUAACUGCCGAGCUAGAGUAUGUCAGAGGGGGGUAGAAUUCCACGUGUAGCAGUGUAAUGCGUAGAUAUGUGGAGGA